RNAcentral lists this ribosomal RNA (433 nucleotides) under uncultured bacterium. RNAcentral describes it as "partial 16S ribosomal RNA". It matches the Rfam family "Bacterial small subunit ribosomal RNA", at positions 34 to 507 of the family's 1533-position model. The record is from RNAcentral.
AACGCCCGCUUUCUUCAUUCCUAACACAUGCAAGUCGAACGAGACCUUCGGGUCUAGUGGCGCACGGGUGCGUAACGCGUGGGAACCUGCCCUUAGGUUCGGAAUAACUCCCCGAAAGGGGUGCUAAUACCGGAUAAUGUCUUCGGACCAAAGAUUUAUCGCCUUUGGAUGGGCCCGCGUUGGAUUAGCUAGUUGGUAGGGUAAAAGCCUACCAAGGCGACGAUCCAUAGCUGGUCUGAGAGGAUGAUCAGCCACACUGGGACUGAGACACGGCCCAGACUCCUACGGGAGGCAGCGGUGGGGAAUAUUGGACAAUGGGCGAAAGCCUGAUCCAGCAAUGCCGCGUGAGUGAUGAAGGCCUUAGGGUUGUAAAGCUCUUUUACCCGGGAUGAUAAUGACAGUACCGGGAGAAUAAGCGCCGGCUAACUCCGUG